UGGAGACAGCAACUGUACAACAGACCUCAAUGGGCAGGAUAUGAGGAUGCAACCAUAAGCGUCAGAAUUGGCAGAAAGAGGGUGCAAUUGGGUGGCUGAGAAAGGUGAUGCUUUGGUGAAGUACAGGACCAGCUCCAGGUAUGAAGAGGCUUGAGUUUAGUGGUCCAUUGGUGGCCCCUGGAAGGCUCACCUGGUGAUGGGGGCGGUAGGCAGCAGCACUCACAGCAGUGCCCCAUAUGAUGUCAGGAGCAUUGUGGGAAAUUAAAAUGGCUGCUAAAAUUAGGCUGCUCAUGUCAGACAAAGACAAGUUAUUUUAAGGGGGGGAUGGUGGCCAGGGACCAUUAUCAGCAAUGGGGUCUGCUGGGAUGCUGUCGGGCUUCAGGGAAUCGGCUUUCUCUCCUCGUGGCAGUAGAUAAGAAGAUCAAAGAAAGGAACAUCUUACCAAUUAGAAUCUUUAAUCAUCACAGUGAGAGAACAAAGAACCCAUCUCCUAGAAAUGGCGGUGCUCCCAAUUAAGGGUCACUCCCCCUCUCCGUCCCUAUUAAUCUACGUCACUCUUGUAAACUGAGCUUGUACCCUCUGUUCUUUCUGUUCUGACACUUUCUGAGCUCUUCUCGGCUUUGGGGAAGGGUGGGGUGAAUGCUGUCCAGAGACUGUGAAUCUGUUAAUCCUCUCUCUCCUAGUGUUUCUUCUCCUAGCUGUUCCCCAUCUAGUAUUUCCCAGCUUCUGCUUUCUGAACUAUGCCCCUCUGCAAACCACUGUUCCAAAUCUAUACUGUCCUGCUGCUCCUGGGAAGAUUCAGGAUCAGGAGCAGGGGGAGGAGAUGGCUCCCACCAUUCUUCCUCAGUGCAGCCCUCCUCAGCACGGUCCCUGACACACGAUCACAGACUAGGACUUGUCAGGAGAAGCAACAGAAGCUGCAAAUCUAAAACUGAGCAGAGAAAAACAGAGCUCAUAUGAAAGUGUGGGAGGUUUCCAAAUUAUUUGGGGGAGGCACAAUCUCCAGUUGAAGAAGGGCUUACACCGUUCCAUUUGGUGAUGGAAUUAAGCAGACAGAGGAGAGUUCAGAUGAGUGAAAUGUCGCCACAACUCUAAUCAAAGAAAGAUGUUCAGAGCUUUCUGGGAAUGCUAAAUUACCUGGGGAAAUUAACUUAUCCACAAACACAACAUCUCUAAGGAAACCUUUGGAAUAUAAAAAUGAACGAUGCCAGGAUGAGCAAGGGGAGAAAUCAUGAAUUACUGUCAAACAACAAUGUACAAGAGCUGGUAUUAGUUUUCUGCUCCAGAUAGGCCCAUCAAAACUUCAACUGAUGUGUCACCGUCUAGGACGGGAACAGUAUGUCUACAGAAACAUGAUGCCUUCUGCCAGUGGGGUAUUCAUCUAAAUCAAUUACUGACACAGAAACAAGAUACACAUAUUGUGAAAGAGUAGAUGGGAAUCUUGUUUACUUGUGAAUGCUUUCAUCAACAUAUAUCUAAGGCCAGACUUUUCAGGUUGAAACAGACCACAAGCCCUUUAUAGCAUUGUUCAGAAAACCCCUGAAUGACUAUACCUUAAGGACUCAAAAGAAAAUCAAACUGCACAAAAGUAUUAUUUGGCUGUAAGCAAUACAUCCAGUAAAUUUAUGUUUGCCGCUGAUGUCUUUUGCAGAACUAUAAAUCUUACUUUGAAGGCAAAAGGGGGGGGGAGGCUUAUUUUGAGGGACAGAAUUAUUAGAUUUGUCAAAGCACACCUAGAAGGAAAUAAAAGAAUAAAACAAAUCAAGGUGGAAGCAGAGGAACAGAAAACAAAGCAACAGAAAAAGGCUCAUUGAGAAUGGAAAAUGAUUGGCCAUUCAGGAGUAGCCAGAAAGACCAAGAUGCCAUGUCAGAGACCACAUUUGCUUUGUUGGGGGAAACCUUCAUAUUACCCAAGCUGGUAUGCAUGUACCCAGUCUGUACAUGUAAGUUUUCCCCAACAGGACAAAUUAUUAUAAUAGAUAGAUAGAUAGAUAGAUAGAUAGAUAGAUAGAUAGAUAGAUGAUAGAUCUCUCUAUCUCGGCUGAAAUGUUUAUUUGUUACCCGUCUUUUUUUGUUUUUUAAAAAAUCAUUUUUAUUUGAUUGUACAAAUGUAAAUUUAUUGUGAUUACCAAAGGUAAAGGGACCCCUGACCGUCAGGUCCAGUCCCGGAUGACUCUGGGGUUGUGGCGCUCAUCUCGCUUUACUGGCCAAGGGAGCCGGCAUACAGCUUCCGGGUCAUGUGGCCAGCAUGACUAAGCCAGAGCAGCACACAGAAACGCUGUUCACCUUCCCACCAGAGUGGUACCUAUUUAUCUACUUGCACUUUGACGUGCUUUCAAACUGCUAGGUUGGCAGGAGCUGGGACCGAAUAACGGGAGCUCACCCCGUCGCGGGGAUUCGAACCGCCGACCCUCUGUUCGGCAAGCCCUAGGCAAUACCAAGUACAUAUCCAUAAAAAGUGAUUUCUCUGAAUCUCGAGACUUCCCCCCCAUCCCCUCCAUGGGUCCAAUUGUCAACAUUUCCAACUGCAUAUUAUUUCAUAGACUAUAUUCUGUACCUAUCUAUAUUGUCCAUAGUAUUUGUUACAUUACAAGUGAAGUUAAAAUCCUGCUAAUGUUUUCAUCUGCUUACAGUGGUCUCCUAAAUAAAUUAAAAUUCUUUCUUAAAGCUUUAGUCUUCUUGGUUUCUGAGUUUUUUGGUCAGUUUUGCCAUUUCGGCAUGGUCUAGGGACUCUUUCUUCUUUCCAUCUCUGGGCUAGUAACAUCCGUGCUGCUGUUGUCGCAUACAUAAAGAGUCUUUUUUGCUCCUUUGGGAUGUUGGUACCCACAGGUCUCAGGGCAGUUCACAAGAUAAAAUCACGAUAUCCACCACUGGCAUGUAACAGCCCUCCUAGAAGGUUACACAAGAGGGAAUAAGGCCCUCAGACUGAAAAAAUAUUUCCUGCUUUUGGUUUCUUGGACAGGUGGAAAUGAUAUACAUGGGUGAGGGGAACCUAACGCUCCCCGUCCUCACAUACCACAUUCAAUUACCCUCCCUUUUUCUCCAGGUGAGUUCUGAUAUCAGAUGAGAACCAGGAUGAGAGAAAAUUGUCUGAAGAGAUAGGGAUGUAAGGCAAAGGACCAAAAGCCAGUGGUCAAGAACCAAGAUGGCUGCCUUACCCAUGUCUACUUUGGCCCUCAGGGAAGAAGCACCCGUGUAGAAUUUCUCCAGAACCUCCAUUCGACUUCAUAACACCAGUUACUGGCAGGCAUGGAACUGCAAGGUCCGUUCACUUGCCGUAAGAGAAGGAAAUGAUAGGUACAAUUUCACCAAUAGAUAUAAAGUGUAUAUAGUAAAGUGUAUAUAGUCUUUAGCAGAAGGAUGGCUGGAUAAAUAUGUCAAGUAGAAUUAUAUUACUGUUAAGAAUUACUUCCAGGACAUUUCAGCUCAUACCUCAAGCCUUCAUCAGCUGAGGUAAAAUGAGUUGAAAUGUUCUGGAAGUAAUUGCUAGCAGCGCUGAAGAGAUAAGAGUAUAACUUCACCUGACAGGGCUAAUCUCAGCGGACGCCUCCAUUUGCCAGCCUUUAAUCCUUCCUCAGAUGAAAGGAGAGAAGACAUCUAUGGUCGCAGGCAGGAGUGCAGCUGAUAGAGAAGGCUUCUGGCUCUCCUGAAACAUCCUGAGGGAAAGUCUGGCCCAGAUUUUGGACGUCUUUGUCAGUCUUGUCAAAAGAAGAAGAAGAAAUUGCUUUCAGAACAGUUAUGUCAUGCCAACCCUGAACAUGUUGAGAUUUGUAGACUGGAAGAAUUGGGACCGCCAGAUUGUUUCCAGGAGGCAUGUUCUUUUGUCACUACACUCGAAGGCAGGGAACAGAGAAGCCCUCAACUAGAAAGGAUUGCCUCCUUCUCAUGGGGCAUGGACAACUUCCCUUGGGGUGGGCAUAGAUGCACCAGAGUUUCUGCUUCUAAAACCUGCACUGCUUCCCCAGGCAUGCUUCUUUAGGGGUUUCACAGCUCCAAGGUUGUGGAAUUUCCUCCUGUGCAACAACCUAUACAUUUGGCUGGCUGCAGGGGUGUCAACUUGAAUAAAAUAUUGGGGGGCAGGUAGGCCUCACCCUGAAUUUGAAUCCCAUUUGAAUGGCAAUACCCAUAAACUUUUUGGGGGGUCCUAUUUUCAUCAGAUAAAUGUUGGGGGGUAUGAGAUUAGGCCCUCUGGUAGACCUAGAUGCCAAUUCUGUCCCCAUAACUACUCUAGUACAGUCGUACCUUGGCUCCUGAACGCCUUGGGCGUCGAACAUUUUGGCUUCCGAACGAUUGAAAACCGAACUUCCAACAGGUGAAAAUUCUACAACUGAAAUCAAGUGAAACAUGUCCAUGGGAAAUCAGAGACACAGAGAGACAGACAGAGAGGGAGAGGGAGAAGGAGAAGGAGGGGAGAGAGAGAGAGAGAGAGAGAGAGAGCCAUGCUUACCAGGCAUUAAAAAACCCCCACAGAAGAGCUUUAUCCCAUGCUAUUAAAAUGCUAACUAAGGUUCUGUGAAAGCAAGGGAUAGGUAGCUUGCAAGACAGACUCUAGCAAUGCCAAAUACCCAUUAAGAUUAAGGGCUGCAUUAAGAUGAAAUAUGAAAAGUGCACAUCAGGUUAAUGAAAUUAUCCAACAGCUACUCUCCAUAAUGAAACACCCUACCUGCCUCUCAUCAAUCAAAGGCCACCUUUGUGCACCUCCAAGUCCUGGAAGCAGAUUCCUCUCUCUAUAGCCUUAUGCAUGAUGGAGCCGAGGGGAACUACCGAAGAAAUAUAUUGAGGUGGAAACGUAGGCCAGACAAAUAGAACCAACCAGCAGUCAUGAUGUAAACAUGGAAUGGUAAAUGAGGAAUCUUCUGCAUUAAAAAAACAAAAACAAAGAAACUGAUAAUUCUUCCCAAAGGGCAACUGAUAAUAUACUUUCUUGGGGAAUAGUUUGGCUCAGUCUGUCUAUGAUGACCAAGCACUUUUCCAAAACUCCAUAAGUGUUCAGUGUAGCCUAAAGGUAAAGGUAAAGGGAUCCCUGACCAUUAGGUCCAGUCGUGGCCGACUCUGGGGUUGCGGCCCUCGUCUCGCUUUAUUGGCCGAGGGAGCCGGCGUACAGCUUCCGGGUCAUGUGGCCAGCAUGACUAAGCCUCUUCUGGCGAACCAGAGCAGCGCACGGAAACGCCGUUUACCUUCCCACCAGAGCGGUACCUAUUUAUCUACUUGCACUUUGACGUGCUUUUGAACUGCUAGGUGGGCAGGAGCAGGGACCGAGCAAUGGGAGCUCACCCUGUCGCGGGGAUUUGAACUGCCAACCUUCUGAUCAGCAAGUCCUAGGCUCUGUGGUUUAACCCACAGUGCCUACUGAGAAGUAUAUAUGCUAGACACCACAAUGAAAACACGGGCUGCCAGAUAUUCUGAUGCUAAGACUUAGACUAGUGUCAAUUUUAUCCACCACCUUCUUUGGCUUCUGAGAUUUCACCAGACAUUGUCCGAACACUGCUCUGCAUAUCUUUCUAUCCAUAAGGGUUAGACACUUUUAAAAAACCCAUACACACCAAAAACUGUGGUUCUCAGGAAACUGAAUUCUUCAACCAAUUCUAUUGGCUGCUCAUUUUCUGCCAUCCUUACCCUUCCCACAAAUCAAGAACAUUUAAAAGAACAGUUCCACUGCCCUGACAAUGACCCUGUAAGGCAAGUUGGUGAUGACACGGGUGCUAGCCAAUUCACACAUCCUGCACAGUCCAGCUAACCACACUGUAAAAUUGCAGGAUUAUUUAUUUAUUUUUUUAAAAAGCUCUCAACAGGAGACUGAAAAAAGGCAUGUUUGUACUGGACUGUGUCUCCUUCUCUUAAAAAUUACAUCUGUUUUCACAAUUUGGUCAGAUCCCCUUUCCGCCUAAGGUCUGAAUGCAUGAUGAAAGACUUAAAUAGACCAGUGAAAAAGGAACUCUUCAGACUUAGGAAACUCUGAAUUCACAAAGUCAAAUGAGACAAGGCUGGGAUUUGCUCGAAGCUCUGUGAGUGGGUGCAACUGUCUGCCACCACCAUACAUGACCGUAUAUAAUGCGAUUACAUGGCUGCCGGAUUAGCCACAUAAUUGUCCUUUUUGAUUUUGCCGCUUUAUAAUUGUGCUCUUUAACAAGACAGGCUUUCAGAGGAAAGAAAAAGGAUUAAUCCUUCUCCUCCUUUGGGCUGAGAAAGUAACCUUCAAAAUGUGAUCUCAAAAGUAAACCAUUUCUCGGAAUAAUUCCUGAAUCGGCAGAGAAAUAAAUGCAAACUACUAGGUGCUUAAUUUUGAAAAAGGAAAUUCUCAUCUAAAUGGAAGCGGUGCCUUUUGCGCCUUAUCAAAUGCUGGAGCAGGAAGCAGAAGGGAAAGAACACAAGAAAUUGUCUAUAUGCGACUGGCAGCAGGAUUUCUGGCAGGAGACAUUCCUAGUCCUACCUAGAGAUGCCAGGAUUACAGCUGGGACCUUUUCCGUACCAAACAGAUGCUGUAAAACUGAACCACGGCCCUUCCCCACUCUCCGAAUGUUCAAUGUGACUGUUUUCUCUGUAUUAGCCCAUGCGACCCACAAUUAAAAAUCACGGCAUCCAAACCAUGGAUAUUCCUGGAAUGAGCUAUGGAAAAUAGUUUCCAUCAGCUGAGUCUUCAUGAGUUCUCUCCUGCAACGGACCUGUUGCAUUUCUCUAUUGGUUGGGAGGGGGUGGUUUUCCCUUCGCUGGCAGCCCACCUGCUUUCUAUGAUGGGGGCAGCCCAUCUCUUUUGCCAGCCUGCUCACUUGUCUGCAUGGACUUCCAUGUGAAUUCCUUGUCACUGAUGGCUCCCAGGCAAAUGCUUAAGCAUAAAGGUAAAGGUAGAGGACCCCAGUCAAAGGUAACUAUGGGGUUGCAGCGCUCAUCUCACUUUCAGGCCAAGGGAGCCGGCGUUUGUCCACAAACAGCUUUCCAGUUCAUGUGGCCAGCAUGACUAAACCGCUUCUGGCUCAACGGGACACCAUAAUGUAAACCAGAGCACACAGAAACGUUGUUUACCUUCCUGCUACAGCGGUACCUAUUUAUCUACUUGCACUGGUGUGCUUUCAAACUGCUAGGUUGUCAGGAGCUGGGACAGAGCAAUGGAAGCUCACUCCGUCACAUGGAUUCGAACCGCCGACCUUUCAAUCAGCAAGCCCAAGAGGCUCAGUGGUUUAGACCACAGAGCCACCUGCUUCCCUUAAGUAUAAGGCUGCUUUAAGGCCCACAAGGCUGAAUUCACUCCUGUGGAGUCCUGCCAAGUAAUGAAAUUCUAAGAAGUCCUUUUUAUUCCAUACAAGUGAAAUGUCCCUUUGCUAAUGUAACCAUUCUCAAAGGGUUAGCAGUGUCCGUCUACGUUGCAGAAAAAGCAACAAGAGUCUUGUGGCACCUUAAAUAGUAACAAAUGCAUUGUGGCAUAAGAUUCUGUGGACUAAGGUCCACUUCAUCAGUCCAGGAACGGGGGACCUGUACCCCCUCCCAGAUGUUAUUGGAUUCCAUCAGUUCCAACCUGUGAUCAGAGAUGAUGGGUGCUGAAACCAAACAAGGUCUGGAGAGGCACAGGUUCUCUAUUCCUGCUCUAGUCCAUGAAAUACCAUAUAUAUCAGGGUUGGGGGGCCUUUGGCUCUUCAGAUGUUGCUGCAUUUCCCAUCAGCCUCAGCAAGCAUGGCCAAAGGGAUGAUGGAAGUUGUAGUUUUGGAACAUCUGGAAGGUCAAAGGUUCCCCAUACUUGAUACGUAUCACCAGUGUCAAAGCAAUGAUUCUUCUUCAACAUCAACUUCGUUGGACUGGUCAUGUUGCUCAGAUGCCUGAUUAUCGUCUUCCAAAGCAACUACUCAACUCCAAACUUCAAAACAGUAAGCAUAAUGCUGGUGGUCAACAAAAGAGGUUCAAAGACUCUCCCAAGGCAAAUCUAAAAAAAGGUAGUAUAAACACCGACAACUGGGAGGCCCUGGCCUGUGAGAGCUCCAGUUGGAGAACAGCCUUUACCAAAUGCGUCAUGGGCUUUGAAGACGCUCAAACUCAGGAUGAAAGGGAGAAAUGCGCUAAGAGGAAGGCAUGCUUGGCAAACCCUUGCCGUGAUCAAGUCCCACCUCGAAACCUAUGUCCCCACUGUGGAAGAACGUGUGGAUCCAGAAUUGGCCUCCACAGUCACUUACUGUUAAAACCGUGUUUAUGGAAGACAAUCUUACUCAGCUACGAGUGAUUGCCAAAGGAGAAGCCAUAUCACAAUAAAUUAGUUAGGUGUCACAAGACUCUUUGCCAUACUUCCUAAUGUAUUUUUUUCUCUUAAAUUUUGUGCACAAAAUUAGGAACAAGUUAGGCUUAAGGAACUCAGAAUGUCUGAUCUAUAAUGCAGCUGCCUCGUAGUACAUGGAAGCAAUGGCCCAUUCAGCGCUGUUCCUAGAUUGAGUCACUGAUUUGGGGUCACUCCCAGCCUUAUUAUCUGAAGUCCUUUGACAGGAGAUGCCAUUGAUUUAACUUUCUGAAUGCCAAGUAUGCGCUGGACUGCUGAGCUACGGCCUCUCCCCAGCCACUUUCUCUAGAGUUGUGCCACCACCUUCAAUAAAAAAGGCAUGAAAAGCAUCCUGGGGCAGUGGGGGGGGGAUUAUAGUUUUACAAUGAGCAAAAUUCUCAAGGAAUUUUACCUAACAGGGUCUAUUUGCAUUUGAAAACCCUAAAAAGCAAUGCCCCCAAGUCCUGGAGGUUUAACUGCCCAGGCUCCCUUUUCUUAUGCAAAACUGGCUCAUAAAACAGAUGUACAUUGCAGCCAUAAAUGGAAGGCAAGGGAUUGCUAGCAAUAGGAUGUGAAAUUAAGCAGUGAGAAUGUAAAAAAAAGGGGGGGAGGAUAAAGGAUGAAGAGCCAGAUGCUGUUUCUUAUAGAGGGGUUUCAGACAAUGACUCCCAUUUUAGUGUCUCGGGGAAACUUGUAAGAAUAGUGUCCUGGGUACACAGGGCUGUUAAUCUCACAGUUCCUGAGAAUUUCUACCAAAUCCACAAGCUUCCAAAGCUUUGCCAGAGAAGCACACCAAAUACUGACCUCCAGUGCUUUUUUUCUUAAAAAAAAAAUGUUUAGGGGUACUCUCAUUUUCCUACUCAUAUUGAAAUACUGCCCCUCAAUGAGGCCAAACUUAGAUUCACAAAAUGUUUAGGGGUAUGCGUACCCUUGCAUCCCCCCAGAAAAAAGCACUGCAUGCAUGUAAACAGCAUGCUAUGAGUUUUCAGUUAAAGAAAACAAACAGUGCAAUAUCAGAGGGGGGUGGAUCUUGAAAGAUUGCAGGGGUUGCCAACAUUUUAUGCCCAUUUGAGGUUUUUCCCCUUGGAUCACUUCUCUCCCACUUUCACAAAGAGAUAAAAAGAGAGAACACACACACACACACUGCUGGAUUUACGUAUAAGCUAAACAAGCUAUAGCUUAUGGCCCCACUCUCUUGGGGCCCCCCAAAAAAUGCAAAGGGGGAAAAAGUUGGAUGUAAAUUUCCAAAAUAUAAGAUAAAAAAACAAAAACAAAAUAAAAUCUACAUACAGCAACAGUGUUGUGUAUGGAGUUAUUAGGCCCAUAAAUUACCAGAUAGCAUACAGUGGUACCUCGGGUUAAGUAUUUCAUUCGUUCCGGAGGUCCGUACUUAACCUGAAACUGUUCUUAACCUGAAGCACCACUUUAGCGAAUGGGGCUUCCUGCUGCCGCCGCGCCGCCGGAACACGAUUUCUGUUCUCAUCCUGAAGCAAAGUUCUUAACCUAAAGCACUAUUUCUGGGUUAGCGGAGUCUGUAACCCAAGGUACCACUGUAUAUUCAACACAAAAAACAGUGACAAUUUGUUGUUGACAAAGGACAGCUGGACAUAUAAAGGAUCCCAUUACCUUCAGUAGCUUAGGGCUUCAUCAAACCUAAAUCUGGCCCUACACACACACACACACACACACACUUACACUUUCCUUUUCUGAGGGAUCUAGGUAAAAGUUAGACCCAGCAGAAUUUAUCUGAGCCUUGGAAAGCAUACAGAACUGAAAGAGGAAGUGGGAAAGUGUGUCACUUUUCCAACUUCUUUCCGCUCUACUUACUUUUCAAGGGAGAAAAAGGUAACCACGUUCACUGCAUUGUGACCAAGAGGGCAGUGAGUGGAGGGGCUCAGAGGCUUCAUGGGUGUCAACAGAAGAUCUCAAGAGUGCCCCUACACCCAUGGGCACCACAUUGGCAAAUGUGGUGCUAAUGUUUAGUUACUCAACUCGUCUCGAAAGAGGAUACAGUCAGUAGAAAAAUCCACAGCUGGGCAAAAGCUUCAUUAGAACCAGCCAGAAUGUGGCAAAAUAGUGGCAUGCUUUCAAGUUCCCCAUCAGACAAAACAUUACAUGAAGCAGAAAAGAGAGGAGAGAGGAGAAAAAGGAGAAAAAAAUUAAAAAGCAUCCUUAUCCCCAUCUCCUGCUUCAUGUAACAUCUUGCUUGAUGGAUAUUUCUGCAAAAUUCAAAAGCUUGCAACUAUUUUGUGACAUUUUGGUUGGCGCCAGUAAAAUUAUUGUCCAGCUGUGGAUUUUGGAGGAUUUUCCACCCGCUUAUGGACCAACACGGCUACCUUUGCUUUUUAUGUGCCUUCACAAAGUUAUGAAGGGGGUGAAAAGCCUCUCCCAUGAGGAAAAGGUGAAACAUCUGGGGCUUUGCAAUUUUGGGAGAGGGAGUGUACAGAUUGUAGAAACAGUGAGAUUCUUCCCCAUCUCUCAAAUAUUCCCAGUAACCCAAUAAAAUCAGUUGGCAGUAGGUUAGGACAGAGGGACCAAAGAAAAUAUGUACACAUUCACUAAACACUUAAUGAACUUAUGGAACACACCACCACAAAUUGUGGAGACGGUCACAAGCUUAGAUGGUUGAAAGGGAUUAGGUAAAUUAAUGGAGAGGUAAGCCGUGAUAUUUACGGUAAAUGGAGCCUUCAUUUUCAGAGGCAGAAAACCUCUGAGCUUCAGUUGCAGACAAGGAUGAGCUGUGGCCUUCAGUCCCUACUUGGGGGUUUCCCAUAGGCUGGCCUCUGUUGGAAACAGUGUACUGGACUAGGCAGAAAUAAACAUUCCCAGCUGUCCUCGGAAAGGCAGUGUCCUGUUCUGACUCAUGCCUGGUUGCUGAGAGAUAAAUAUUAGGGGAUUGAAAGAAUGAAUCAUCAGCUGUUGCCAAACCCGGGUUACGCUAAGGCAGGGUCCUUAUCUGAGCUGCAAUCCUUGCCUCGCUUUUACAAAUUAUGCUUCAUAGUUUCUCAAAGUCAGUAUGCUGCUGUUUUUAAAGAUCCACACACAAACCCACACUGCUGCAACUGCACACUCUGUUUUUGUUUAGUCGUUUAGUCGUGUCCGACUCUUCGUGACCCCAUGGACCAGAGCACGCCAGGCACUCCUGUCUUCCACUGCCUCCCGCAGUUUGGUCAGACUCAUGUUUGUAGCUUCGAGAACACUGUCCAACCAUCUUGUUCUCUGUCAUCCCCUUCUCCUUGUGCCCUCCAUCUUUCCCAACAUCAGGGUCUUUUCCAGGGAGUCUUCUCUUCUCAUGAGGUGGCCAAAGUCUUGGAGCCUCAGCUUCACAAUCUGUCCUUCCAGUGAGCACUCAGGGCUGAUUUCCUUCAGAAUGGAUAGGUUGGAUCUUCUUGCAGUCCAUGGGACUCUCAAGAGUCUCCUCCAGCACCAUAAUUCAAAAGCAUCAAUUCUUCGGCGAUCAGCCUUCUUUAUGGUCCAGCUCUCACUUCCAUACAUCACUACUGGGAAAACCAUGGCUUUAAAUAUACGGACCUUUGUUGGCAAGGUGAUGUCUCUGCUUUUUAAGAUGCUGUCUAGGUUUGUCAUUGCUUUUCUCCCAAGAAGCAGGCAUCUUUUAAUUUUGUGACUGCUGUCACCAUCUGCAGUGAUCAUGGAGCCCAAGAAAGUAAAAUCUCUCACUGCCUCCAUUUCUUCCCCUUCUAUUUGCCAGGAGGUGAUGGGACCGGUGGCCAUGAUCUUCCUUUUUUUGAUGUUGAGCUUCAGAAGCUCAACUGCACACUCACCGGGCAAUUAUUUUACCCUCAUUUCUGAAGACGAUAGAUGCAUCAUUGAGAACCCUUGUCCAAUGGAGAGUUUAGCUCUGACUCCAGAAUAACAAGGUGAAACAGUUCCAGGAUUGACAGCUUCAGACAACGAGUAAAAGAUUUGAUUACUCUGUCACACCUUUUUUUUUUUUUUUACCUGAGUGGCAGUAUAGAAAUGUUUUUAUAAAUACAUUUAUAAACGGCUUUAAACCCAUCCAAAACACAGCCCACAAAGUUUUAAACCUGCACUGAGUUUGGAAAGAAGACAAAGUCCCAACCAGAGAUGAAUGGUUGAUGAAGAUGAUGGACUACGCUGAAAUGGCAAAAAUGACCAGGAAAAUCAGAAAUCAUGAAGAUAGAAACUUUAAUAAGGAAUGGGGGGGAAAUUAUAAGUUACUUAGGAGAAUACUGUAAACAACUAAAAAUUUUGGCAGGAUUUGAGUAACACUUGUAAUGUAUUAAAAACUAAGGUAAAAAUGGACUAUUUUAAGAAAAAUGGAGAAAUUAUAUGAUGCAGUAGAAAGUGUUUGAUAAUGGAAACCAUGGAGGUGUGGAGGGAAGUCUAAGGAUUCGGGGAAUCCUAAAUGUUGAUGAUUAUGAUUAAUGUUUGAAUUCAAAUGUACAGUGGUACCUCUGGUUGCGAACAGGAUCCAUUCUGGAGGCCUGUUCACAACAUGAAUAGAAUGCAACCCACGUCUGUGCGUGCACGGGUCAUGAUUCGCCGCUUCUGCGCAUGCAUGUGACAUCAUUUUGCGCAUCUGUGCAUGCGCGAGUAGCGAAACCCGGAAGUAACCCUUUCCGGUACUUCCAGGUUGCCACGGGAUGCAACCUGAAAAAACAUAAAGGUAAAGGUAAAGGGAUCCCUGACCAUUAGGUCCAGUUGUGGCCGACUCUGGGGCUGCGGCGCUCAUCUCGCUUUAUUGGCCGAGGGAGCCGGUGUACAGCUUCCGGGUCAUGUGGCCAGCAUGACUAAGCUGCUUCUGGUGAACCAGAGCAGCACACGGAAACGCUGUUUACCUUCCCACCAGAGCAGUACCUAUUUAUCUACUUGCACUUUGAUGUGCUUUCGAACUGCUAGGUUGGCAGGAGCAGGGACCGAAGAAUGGGAGCUCACCCCAUUGCGGGGAUUCGAACCGCCGACCAUCUGAUCAGCAAGUCCUAGGCUCUGUGGUUUAACCCACAGCACCACCCGCGUCCCUGCGCCACCCAUAUCCCUAUCAUGAAGCAAAUGCAACACAAGGUAUGACUGUAUAGUGUAAAAUUGAAUAUAUAUUUUUAAUAAAAAUAAAUAAAAAAUAAACCUGCAGUGAGUUGUGUUGUUUGAAUGUUUUUGCAUGAGGGAGCAACCUGAGAUACGAUAAUGAGUGCCUUGGUAAACCAUGGUUUGGGGCAACGUGAACUAGUAGCAGCAACCUCAAGCUUCCAUUCUCUGCUGGGAAGAUUUGAAGCUUCCAAUCCCACUUUCCCUUUUUAUUAACCAUGGCUUGCUUAAAAGCCAGAUAAGCCCUACUUAAAUAGAGACCAUUAGCACAGCAGGGAGAACUUCCUUCCCUGUUGGAUUCCAUUCAUUUUCAACUUACAGGGAAUUUUUCUAAUGUGGGAGAGCGUUCAGAAACGAUUUCUCCCAUCUGCAACCCCCUCUGCUACCUAAGAACAUAUUAUCACCACCGUCAAUAUGUAAUUUGCUAUGUCAGUCCGUGAGUUAAAUUAUUUUUCAAGUGGCUUUAAAAUAAGCAGGGCUGGAUCAUUUUCAGACAAGUCAAUGCAGUUUGGGCAUGCAACGGGAGCGAUAAGAAGCACCGAGACCUCCUGCUGCAGGAUAUGAGGUGACAGUUUGGGCGAAAGGAAUUUCUCCCCUUGGACAGUAUUGCAAAAGAAGCUAGGAGAGUUUUGCAUACCUCAGAAGUAUCCGGGACUGAACAAUGCAACAGAUUGCAUGGACCUGUUCUGAGCAAGUCUAGCACAUUCAGAUCCCACUGCGGGUAUGCGUUGGAUUUCGGGUGCGGCGAAAGCAACUCUCUCAUGGUAGUAUAGAGGUGCCACUCCUCCUUUUUAACUGGAUCUGUUCCUGUGCUUUUAAGAGAAAUGGGACAAGAGAAGCUUUUCCGUAGCCCAGAAAUGGAAGCAAGAAGAAAUUCUGAGGAAAGAAGAAUGGCAGACGAAAAUAAUGGACCCUGCAGAAUUGGACAAAAUGACAGGAAGGAUUCGAAACCUGCGGGAACAGAGAUUUACAGAAGACUGGAAGAAGUAUACAAACUAUUUGAAGAGCAAUUGUAAUCAACAAAUUGCGCUAGUAGGACUACAAGAAGUUUUGUAGGGAGAAAUAUAUGAAGUGCUACAAAGUAGAUAAAGAAUAGAGAUAUGGGUUUUGAGUUUUAAAUUUAACAGAGAAAAUAAGAAAUGUAUACUAAGAAAUUAGAUGGGGAAAUUUUCAGACUGGACUGAUGGAAGUCAAAAUAUUGAAUAAGAUGUAAAAAUAUGUUUAAUUACUAUUGGAAAUGGUAUGUUAAAAAACUUACACACACACACACACACACACACACACACACACAUAUAUAUAUAUAUAUAUAUAUAUAUAUAUAUAUAUAUAUAUAGCUUUUCCAACCAUUUAGGCCUGCACAAUUUAUGGCCCUGGAAACCAAAUUCUGCCUACCAGCUAUGCAAUGAGGCAAGCCAAGGCACAACAUUGCAUUUUUCCUUUCCAUCUAUGUUCUCAGAGUACAAGUUUACAAUCUCUUGCUCCUCAGGUUCAAUGGCUGCUAUUCCAGAAUGCAAGUUUUCAAGGCUGCAAUAUUUACAGACCAUCCAACUGUUCCUAUUUUCCAGGGAUGUACCUGAUUUAGAGAAGCCGUCCCGGUUUCUGAUUUGAUCCUGGGAUGUCCCACUUUUCCUUCGGAGUAAUGUUGCAGGGUAUGGAGUUAUCCAUCCCCCCCCCCCAAGCUGUCAGAAGGCAAUCCUGUAUAGGAAAGUUUUAAAAAUGUUUAAUGUUCUACUGUGUUUUUAUAGAUGUUAGAAGCUGCUCAGAGUGGCUGGGGCAACCCAGUAAGAUGUGUGGGGUAUAAAUAGUAAAAUUAUCCUUAUGGAAUGGGAUGGCCUAUUUUCAUUGGAGGGUAUGUAUAUAAUAAUAAUAAUGUUGGAGGGUAUGUAUAUAAUAAUAAUAAUGUUGGAGGGUAUGUAUAUAAUAAUAAUAAUGUUGGAGGGUAUGUAUAUAAUAAAUAAUAAUAAUAAUAAUAAUAAUAAUAAUAAUAAUAAUAAUAAUAAUUUAUUUAUACCCCGCCCAUCUGGCUAGGUUUCCCCAGCCACUCUGGGCGGCUUCCAACACAAUAUUAAAAUACAGUAAUGCAUCAAACAUUAAAAGCUUCUCUUAAACAGGGCUGCCUUCAGAUGUCAUCUAAAAGUCUGGUAGUUGUUGUUCUCUUUGACAUCUGGUGGGAGGGCCUUCCACAAGGCGAGUGCCACUACCGAGAAGGCCCUCUGUCUGGUUCCCUGUCACUUGGCUUCUCAUAGGGAGGGAACCACCAGAAGGCCCUUGGCGCUGGACCUCAGCGUCCUGGCAGAACGGUGGGGGUGGAGACGCUCCUUCAGAUAUACUGGACCGAGGCUAUUUAGGGCUUUAAAGGUCAGCACCAACACUUUGAAUUGUGCUUGGAAACGUAUUUAGUCAACUAACAGAGAAUACGAACCUUCUAUUAGCUGGGCAGCAGGGAUUUAUAGUGCAUGUGCUAAACACAAGAAUUUAGAUUCAGUAGGCAUACAGAGUUUUAGAUAGCAAGCACUUUCUAAAACCAUGGGUGAAAGACAGCACCUUAGAAGUGGCAUUCCUCCUCUGUCACAAAACUUGGAAUGUCUCUUCUAAGAUGGUACCAGUGUUUGCAGCAUCUAAAAAGCACCUAAGAACAAUUAAAGAACAAUAGCUUUAUUCAUAUGCAAAUUUAAAGCGUAUGUACUCAUCUAAUUUGUAGGGACACGGGUGGCACUGUGGGUUAAACCACAGAGCCUAGGACUUGCCAAUCAGAAGGUCAGCGGUUCGAAUCCCUGUGACGGGGUGAGCUCCCGUUGCUCGGUCCCUGCUCCUGCCAACCUAGCAGUUCGAAAGCACGUCAAAGUGCAAGUAGAUAAAUAGGUACCGCUCCAGCGGGAAGGUAAACGGCGUUUCUGUGCGCUGCUCUGGUUCGCCAGAAGUGGCUUAGUCAUGCUGGCCACAUGACCCAGAAGCUGUACGCCGGCUUCCUUGGCCAGUAAAGCGAGAUGAGCGCCGCAACCCCAGUUGGUCACGACUGGACCUAAUGGUCAGGGGUCCCUUUACCUUUAAAGGACCCCUGGGCGGUUAAGUCCAGUCAAAGGCGACUAUGGGGUUGUGGCGCUCCUCUUGCUUUCAGGCCAAGGGAACCAGCAUUUGUCCACAGGCAGCUUUCCAGGCAUGUUGCCAACAUGACUAAACCACUUCUGGCACAACGAGACACCAUGACAGAAACCAGAGUGCACAGAAAUGCCAUUUACCUUCCUGCUGCAGCUGUACCUAUUUAUCUACUUGCUCUGGCGUGCUUUCAAACUGCUAGAUUGGCAGGAGCUGGGACAGAACAAUGGGAGCUCACUCGGUCACAGGGAUUCGAACUGCCAACCUUCCGAUCGGCAAGCCCAAGAGGCUCUUUGGUUUAGACCACAGCGCCACCCACUCCUGUAUGGGAAAGUGGCAGCUAUCACUAAAAUUUUCUGUGGGCACAAUGGAAAGGAAAACAAAAGCAGACCUGGAGUUAUCCAUCCCAGGUGGUGAAUGGGAAGCAGUUUGACAACAAUAGCUAUUGUGUGCUACAUCGGCUCUGCUAUGAGAAACUGCUCUGAACGUCAUCUCUAUAUAAGUGCCAAAUCAUGACUGCUAAAGGUGCACCAGAUCAAUAUGACCAUCUCACCUAAGGGUUGGAGGGGAUGCAGGGAGUUAGACUCAUUGAUUCAGAAAACUACAAACAGAUGAUUUGGGUGGAUGAUCUCAGAAAUUACAACCCAGACGCUGGUUCCAGAGGCUGCUUUGGCCAUCUUGUCUACACAUAUCCUUCGGAAGAGUUCUGCAUACAGACUGGGCCAACUAUUUGCUAGCUGUGGCUCAUAGGGAGCUGGCCCAACACUGGAAAUUGCAGGAGGGUUUUAUGCUGAGAGGCUGGGUGACUAGGAUUUGGCAAAGGGAACUGCAUGAGAAGCUUGCUAGGUGUGGUAGAAUUAGCCAAGGGAUAAUAUCCCAUGAUCACUUUAUACAGUGGUGCCUCGCAAGACGAAAUUAAUCCGUUCCGCGAGUCUCUUCGUCUUGCGGUUUUUUCGUCUUGCGAAGCACGGCUAUUAGCGGCUUAGCGGCUAUUAACGGCUUAAUGGCUUAACGACUUAGCGGCUAUUAACGGCUUAACGGCUUAGCGACUUAGCGGCUUAGCGGCUAUUAACGGCUUAGCGGCUUUAAGAAAAAGGAAACAAACUCGCAAGAACUCACUAGACGUUUCGUCUUGCGAAGCAAGCCCAUAGGGAAAUUCGUCUUGCGGAACGACUCAAAAACCGGAAAACUCUUUCGUCUUGCACGUUUUUUGUCUUGCGAGGCAUUCGUCUUGCGAGGCACCACUGUAGUAGGGUUACCAGACAUCCCCGUUUUCAGGGGACAGCCCCCGGAUUUGUGAAUAAGUCCCCGGACAAAUUCCAUCCCCGGAAUGUCCCCGGAUUUCAUCUAAUGUCCCCAGGAAACGCAGCGGCGGCAGUCUCAGCAGCCCAGAGCAGUUGGCUCUGGCUGGCUUCAGGAGCUGCUCAGAAGUCCCCAUAUGAUGGUGGUGCAGGAGCUCUAAGAUGCUGCUAAGGUGGCUGCCGCCAACUUCCCUGACCCCAGCAACUAAGCUGUGAAGGGAGGCUUCAUGCUGCCUAUCAGAGCUUGUGUGGAAGCAGGAGGGGGCAAGGAUCUAUUGGUUAGGCAACGGGAAGCUUCCCAUCCCAACUGAGGGAUCCCCACCCCUCCUGCUUGCACACAAGUAGGAAUGGGAUUGGGGCUGCUCCAAUGGGAAGGGAGGCAUCGUGAUGCCUGAGCGAUCCCUGCCCCCUCCUGCUUGCACGCAAGUAGGAGCUGGGAUGGCGAUGCUCUGAAAGCCAGUGUGGCAAUGCUUCCCCACCACUGCCAUCACCGAAGAACCAACCACUCAGGGGCUGCCCAGGCUCAUGGAGAAAGGAGAUAGAAACCUCAGAGGAAGUGGAAAUGUGGUGGUUGAGGUUAAGGCGGUGGCCGCCCCUCUGCUGCUGCCAUCGCUGCAGCAUCAACAUCCCGAAUGUGUAGUAAUUAAUUAAUUAAAGUGUCCCCGGAUUCAUUGAAAAAAAAUCUGGUAACCUUAUUUUACAGAUACAUGGGUGCUUUCCAUUUGAUGCAAACACAAGGAGCCAGAUUCUGCUCUGUGAGCCAUGCAAUGACUUUAAAAAAAACCUAGGUCUUAGGGGGAAGUUAAUAAAUGUUAUCAAUGCUUGCAUGUUGAAAUAUAAUUAUAGAACAACUAUCGAUGUUCUCUACGAAGGGGAUUGCUCAUUUAUUUUUUAUGAUUCUUCUGUUAAAAAAAUUAAAUAAACACUCUUUGGUUGGGGGGGAGAGAGAGAGAGAGAAAGAAAUAACAUUUGAACAGACACAUUGAUUUGCAUGGGUCCUGGAAGGAACCGGGAAUGCAAAAUGAAGAAACAGCAUAAAUAGCCCAGAUCAUACGCUGCUGGGGAAAAAAACUUCAUUUUGACACCCUGAGAAGUUAUUAGCAACUUGGCAGGUGAGAUGUGUUUAUUCUUGGCAGUGUCAAUUUAAAUACACUCGGAGGAGCGUGGCAAUGCCUUUGCAUUUAUUUACCUCGCUUUGAAUUUACUGUCCUUUAGGUCUUUCAGUUUAAUGGCAUGUCUAAUUGGGCAAGAAAAUCAACACGAGAAAGGACUGGUGUUCUGUGUGCGCGCACUAGUGCAGAAUUCAGCUGCUUCCUGCUUUUUUUUAAAAAAAAAAGAAGGAGGAGGGAAAAAUUCAACUGGCACACAGGAGAAACCGGCAACAGAAAAUGCUUUACUGCUGUGUGACCUGGAGCUCCUCUGAUAGAGGGUUGACUCAAUUCACUCAACUGGCCAAGAACAAACCCCUUUGUAGGCAGGGUGGCUGGAACAGUGGGUGCAGAGGGACGGUGCAGGGGGGCAGAGCUGAGGGAGGAAAGAAGCCUGCAAAGAGAAGGAUGCAGCUGCAGAUGGAAAGAGGAUGGAAAAAGCCAAGCAAGCAAGCUGGUUGGGAUGGAGAGAGGCCUUCUUCUUCCCUUUAAAAAAAAUAUUUUUUAUUUGAUUUUACAAAUAAAAGUUUAUAACAACCCAAAUCCACAUAUAGAGAGAUUACUCCGAAUCUCAAAACUUCCCCCCAUUUCCUCCAUGGGUCCUAUUGUCAACAUUUACAACUGCAUAUUAUUCCAUAUUCAGCAUCUUAAAAAGCAGAGACAUCACCUUGCCAACAAAGGUCCGUAUAGUUAAAGCCAUGGUCUUCCCAGUAGUGAUGUAUGGAAGUGAGAGCUGGACCAUAAAGAAGGCUGAUCGCCGAAGAAUUGAUGCUUUUGAAUUCUGGUGCUGGAGGAGACUCUUGAGAGUCCCAUGGACUGCAAGAAGAUCCAACCUAUCCAUUCUGAAGGAAAUCAGCCCUGAGUGCUCACUGGAAGGACAGAUCGUGAAGCUGAGGCUCCAAUACUUUGGCCACGUCAUGAGAAGAGUAGACUCCCUGGAAAAGACCCUGAUGUUGGGAAAGAUGGAGGGCACAAGGAGAAGGGGAUGACAGAGGACGAGAUAGUUGGACAGUGUUCUCAAAGCUACCAGCAUGAGUUUGACCAAACCGCGGGAGGCAGUGGAAGACACGAGUGCCUGGUGUGCUCUGGUCCAUGGGGUCAUGAAGAGUUGGACACGAUUAAAUGACUAAACAACAACAACAACAUUAUUCCAUAUUCUAUAUUUUAUAUCCAUCCAUCUUAUCCAUAAUGUUUGUUACAAUACAAAUGAGAUUAAAAUCCUGCCAAUGUUUUCAUCUGCUUGCAGUGGUCUUUUAAAUAGAUUAUGAGUUUUUCUCAUCCUUUUUUAGAGUUUUGAUCCUCUUGGUUCCUGAGAUUUCAAGUCAGCUUUUCCAUUUAGGUGUAGUCCAUCAGCUUGGUUUGCCCUUCCUGUCUGGUAGGGACUCUUUCUUCUUUCCAUCUCUGAGCCAGUAGCAUCUGAGCGACUGUUGUUGCAUAUAUAGUCUUUUCUGCUGCUUUGGGAUAUUGGUAUCUAUAAUUACUAAUAAAAAAGCUUCUGAUUUUUUAACAAAAGUUGCUUGAAGCAUUUUCUUCAUUUCAUUAUACAUCAUCUCCCAGGAUGUUUUUUAUUACCUUACACAACCACCACAUAUGAUAAGAGGUAUCUUCUUUUCCCCCCCAGUAGUGAUGUAUGGAAGUGAGAGCUGGACCAUAAAGAAGGCUGAUCACCAAAGAAUUGAUGCUUUUGAAUUAUGGUGCUGGAGGAGACUCUUGAGAGUCCCAUGGACUGCAAGAAGAUCAAACCUCUCCAUUCUGAAGGAAAUCAGCCCUGAAUGCUCACUGGAAGGACAGGUCCUGAAGCUGAGACUCCAAUACUUUGGCCACCUCAUGAGAAGAGAAGACUCCCUGGAAAAGACCCUGAUGCUGGGAAAGAUGGAAGGCACAAGGAGAAAGGGACGACAGAGGACGAGAUGGUUGGAUAGUGUUCUCGAAGCUACCAGCAUGAGUUUGAUCAAACUGCGGGAGGCAGUGGAAGACAGGAGGGCCUGGCGUGCUCUGGUCUAUGGGGUCACGAAGAGUCGGACACGACUAAACGACUAAACAACAACAUAUAUCACCUGAUUAAAAGUCUGUUGGUUUUACCAGUAUUUUUUAAAAAUUAAUAUUUUAUACUGUUUCAUAGAAACAGUUAACUUUUGGAUGUGCGCUUAACUGCAAGACUGUCUCACAUAAAUAACCUUCUUGUUCAUCAAAAUCCCCAUCUGAAUGUUUUUGAAGUCUGCCUGCCAGUUUAGAUAAAGAGGCUGAGCUGUGUGUAUGUAGAAAGCUGGCAUAUUUUACACCUUGGGAGGCUGGCAGCAUUAUAGAGUUUUCAAGCCUUUUAUUGUUUCUUGUUCAGAUAGGAGGUUUUUUUUUAAAAAAGAAAAGGAAAGCUCGUGUUACUUUUUAAACAAAGAACAAGAGAGACAUUAGCCCUGAGGGCUUUCAGCGAACACCAAGCACUACAGAUCAAGGAAUGCCAAAAUGCAGGAAGAAAACAGCAUUUUUAUGGUGCGUUUUGACAGUUAUUGCUGCUGUUGGCCCACGAGGGGGGGGGAAAACUUUAGAAACAUUUAGAAACACAAUGCUAUUUAGUGAGAUUUAUAUAAAAAGAGCAGAUUCUGCUCUUUUGCGCAACCUGGGCCAACCCUGCAAGUCAUCUGUGGCCAAGACAAAAGGAAGGCUUGCUCUCAUCCAUACUCUAGUCUAGACAAACUACUUACCCAAUUGAUAGGAGUACUUAGCAGUUAAGACAGCCCUUGUGAUACACAGACCCUGCAGUAUAGUGGUGGGUAUUUGUUUCAAGACCCUCGAUUAUUUUUCCUCCUGGCAACUCCUUGCUUUGGAAUUUUGCUUGCUCCGUUCCCCCUGCCCACUGCAUGCGUCUUCAUAGCUCUCCAUGGGCUAACUCUGUUCCAAGUUUUCCAAACUUGGUAAAAAAAAGAAGAAGAUAAAGGACCCCUGGAUGGUUAAGUCCAGACAAAGGCGACUAUGGGGUUGCAGCGCUCAUCUCACUUUCAGGCCGAGGGAGCUGGCAUUUGUCCACAGACAGCUUUCUGGGUCAUGUGGCCAGCAUGACUAAACUGCUUCUGGCGCAACAAAACACCAUGAUGGAAGCCAGAGUGCAUGGAAACGCCGUUUACCUUCCUGCCACAGAGGUACCUAUUUAUCUACUUGCACUGGCGUGCUUUUGAACUGCUAGGUUUGCAGGAGCUGAGACAGAGCAAAGGGAGCUCACCCCAUCGUGGGGAUUCGAACUGCCGACCUUCUGAUCGGCAAAUCCUGACACAACAGGUUUGGCUUGGUGGCUUGUUCUCAAGGAGACAGAACAACCCAUCUCCUACUCUGCCACCCUGAGUUGUUGGUUUUGAGUGCCCUGAGUUGUUCUGCAGCUUGUAUUUGUUUGUUUGCAGCCAGAGAAUUUGUGUGGUUUCAUGGUGGAAGUGCUGGAUUAGGGCCAGGGAGACACAGCUCUGAAUACCUACUCGGCCACAAAAUGAAAACACAUCAAGCUAGACACAAAGGCAAACUGCUUAAGUAUCAUCAUCAUCAUCAUCAGGGAUGUGGGUGGCACUGUGGUCUAAACCACUGAGCCUCUUGGGCUUGCUGAUCAGAAGGUCGGCGGUUCGAAUCCCCACGACGGAGUGAGCUCCUGUUGCUCCGUCCCAGCUCCUGCCAACCUAGCAGUUUGAAAGCACACCAGUGCAAGUAGAAAAUAGGUACUGCUGUGGUGGGAAGGUAAACGGCGUUUCCGUGCGCUCUGGUUUCUGUCAUCGUGUCCCAUUGAGCCGGAAGCGGUUUAGUCAUGCUGGCCACAUGACCUGGAAAGAUGUCUGUGGACAAACGCCGCCUCCCUUGGCCUGAAAGCGAGAUGAGCGCCGCAACCCCAUAGUCGCCUUUGACUGGACUUAACCGUCCAGGGGUCCUUUCCCUUUCCCUUUUACCACCCAUAAUAGCACUUCAUAGCAGCAGCCAGCUGUGCUCCAACAGAUAUCUGGCCAAAUCACAUAUGCGAUAGUAAUGAAAAGACUUGGGAGUUUCUCCAUCACACACUUGGACCAGCCUCAGACUGCUGGAGGGAGGUUUUGCGACGGCAACCAGGGAUAGGAUUACACUUGCAGAACACAAGCUGUGUUCACAAGUUAUUUCAUAGGAGGCUCAGUGGUCUCUCCGUGUUAUUUCACCAAAGAACCCUCGCUCUCUAAAUUUAAUUAAGACUGGCAUUCUGCAUCGCUGUUUUCAUUUAACAAAGAGCUGCCAACAAAAGACCAUUGUGCAAAGAAUGAGCAUGAAAUGAUUUCGCUAUCGAAUUUCUCCUUUAUUUGGUAAAUAACAGAAAGUGCUGAACUGACUUUCUUUCCAAUUUCUUACUGGGGUGAUUAGAAAUCAAAGCAUAAGCCUUUGGGGCCACAGCUUCACGGGAAAUGUAUUUGUUUUUAAUCAUUAAGUAUUAUGAUCAGUAGUUGUUAUUUAUUUGUUUGUUUAUUGUUGUGUAGAUUUAUAUCCUCCUUUUUUUUCUUCAUAGAGCAAAAGGGAUUGUGAAUGGAGUUCGCAGCUGGUCUCUCAUCCAGGCACUGACCUGAUCCAGACCCACUGAGUUUUCAGCAAGGUGACUGCUUUCUGUGCCCAUUGGGCAUGAUCCAGGACCUCCAUACAGCUCUGUCCUGCAGUUUUGCAGUCUCAUUGUAUGGAAGGGUGCUGUCUUUGGGCUAGCAAAGGGGAAGAGAAAACUUGGCUCAUAGUACAGACAUGUGUGUGUCAGAGUCAGUAUUCCCUUCACUUCUGAGAGCCAGUGUGGUGUAGUGGUUAAGAGCACUGGACUCGUAAUCUGGUGAACCGGGUUCGAUUCCCCACUCCUCCACAUGCAGCUGCUGGGUGACCUUGGGCCAGUCACACUUCUCUGAAGUCUCUCAGCCCCACUUACCUCACAGAGUGUUUGUUGUGGGGGAGGAAGGGAAAGGAGAAUGUUAGCCGCUUUGAGACUCCUUCAGGUAGUGAUAAAGCGUGAUAUCAAAUCCAAACUCUUCUUCUGGGGGUGGCAGAACAAACCCCUCUGCUGAUCUUAACACUGAAAAAGACCUUUAAGGAUGGUAGUGAUCUUUCAGAUUUUUAAAUUUCAUUUAAGACUUUCAACACCAAUGCAUUUUGCUUCAUUGGGGCCACCUGUCCAUUUCUGUCAUAGCAAACUAGUUGUGAAUAGGCUUGACUAUUCAGAAUGAGGGCAGGGUCAUGUAUUCGGCAAAAAUAUAUCUUUCUUGUGGUGAGAUGGGAAGUGGAACCAAAUGAACAUGUUGAGGGGGGGAAGUGUGAGGAAAUUUUUGGAGAAAAUUCCAGCUCCUGCCCCUCAGCCUUCCUUUCUCAUACUUAAAAAGUUCACUGAGCAUGGAUCUAGAACAAAACCUGACCGUCAGCUGACUUGAGUGAAGUCGUUCCUCUAAAAUAAAUUGAGAAUAUUGGCAUGUAGACUGCAUAAGCAACAACAGACUAGACUUGUGGCUUCUAUUAAAUUAGACAACAGGCAGGCAGGCAGCCACAGAGUCAGACGACAUUAACAAAAGCUUUUGCUGAAUACGACACAACUGUCUAUGCCUGAACUUGACCCAUCACAGAGACACAGAACGAUCUGGCAAGGCUCCAAAUUGCCGUUACAGAGCCACACACAACGCAUGCAAAACGUCAAACAAAAUUGCACUUCAGGUAGAGUCAAAUUACCGUAAAAAAGCUGGGAAAUAACACCUUGUCAGGCAUAGAGGGGUUUCCUUUGAAAUGCUAGUAUUUGUUGUUGUCAGUGUGGGUCCUUAGGCAGCCACUGAGUGUGAACCAAGGAGGAGGGAUUAUCAAGUCCAACAAUUUCAGUUUCUUAUUUUCCCAUCUCAAGUUUACAUUUUGACAUCAGUCUGCAAUGUUUUUUUCAAGUCCUCAUGAAAUUUCAUAAGCAUUUUAGUGCAAAAUUCUGAUAUGCACAGGUUUGUUGAAAUGAUAGUAGUGAAAAUGCAGCUAAGAAGCUGAAAUCAUAUAUAUGAUUGACAUCCUUCUUUGGAAAUUAUACCAAUGUCCAGAUUGAACAUUCAUAAACUUUACUUGCAGAAACUUGUAGUUAUAGAAUAAUUAAAACAUAAUAUUUACAGUCACAUGCUUCACCAAGCAUGGGUUUAGUCUCUUCUUCUAACUUCCAAACAACUGUAUUUUCCUUUCUUUCCAGAGCUCAGCACUCACCCUUCUGUUUCUCAGUUAGGCCAUGCCGUGCAGCUCCUAUGAGAGAUUUCCACUUUUACCGUCUCCUGCAUCUUUGCUCUCUUUUUUUCAAGCAGAGGAGAAGCACUCCAACACUCUAUUCAACUUAGCAGUGUUCACAGUGGGUGAGUCUCUCCUUCGCUAGAUACCUCCCAUGUGACCAGCAUUAACUAAUCACAUGAGAAUUGCCAGAGAACUCUCUAGAAUUCAGUUAAAGGUAAAGGUAAAGGGACCCCUGACCAUUAGGUCCAGUCGUGACCGACUCUGGGGUUGUGGCGCUCAUCUCGCUUUAUUGGCCGAGGGAGCCGGCGUACAGCUUCCGGGUCAUGUGGCCAGCAUGACUAAGCCGCUUCUGGCAAACCAGAGCAGCGCACGGAAACGCCGUUUACCUUCCCACCGGAGUGGUACCUAUUUAUCUACUUGCGCUUUGACGUGCUUUCAAACUGCUAGGUUGGCAGGAUCAGGGACCGAGCAACGUGAGCUCACCCCAUCGUGGGGAUUCGAAUCACCGACCUUCUGAUCGGCAAGUCCUAGGCUCUGUGGUUUAACCCACAGCGCCACCCGCCUCCCUAGAAUUCGGUUGCCAACCAAUCAAAUUUAAAAACAUAGUGAUGCAUACAAGCAUUUACAAUGUCAGCAAAUUAAAUUGCUAUCCUUAACAAGGUUAAGAAUAAUUCCAAUGGUGGUGCUUGGCCCCAUGCCCAGGGCCAGGAUAUAUUUCAGGCUUCUCUAAGGAGUAAAUCCUACACAAAUCCAGAGUGGAGUCCAAAGGCAUUUGGAUGGCACCCUGUAUCACUCCUGUAGCCAGGCUGGUGACAAAUAUAUUUCUCUGCUUUUCUUUGGACCACAUCAGUGAGGCCAAGAGGAGGGUCUUGUCUUCUGGGCAGUCCAGGACCUCCACGCACACUGCCCAGGCUUGCGCCCCAGAGAGAAGGCACACUCAAUUGUCUCUCAUGACAGAUAGAUACCAACAAGUGCAACAGUGGCCCUUCAGAUGACAAAAAUGCAGUUGUGAUGCCCUGGGACUUGGGUUCGGACUCGGAACCAGAAGAGUCUCAGUCCGCACCAGAUCCUUUGCCUCAGGCGGCAUCUGAACCUAGUCUGGGGCCUGAUUCUGAAGAGCCCCAGUCUGCACAGGUUCCCCUACAACAAGCACCAGCUGGGCCAAGUCAGGGGCCGGAGCCUGCCCUGGCUCCAGAUGCGGGGAUUACCUCGUUGCCUUCAGCCGGGCAAUCACUUACAGCUGCUCUACCACCAGUUGGGUCAGGAGAGGCUGAGGUGGCCUCUGGGUCUAGUAACCCACCGACGUCUCCCGAGCUGCAGAGACUGAGGUCUGAGAGAAGGGGAGACCUGAGUACUCACAGGAGGAGUGCUCGCCUUUGGGCGAGACAGGGAGGUGAGUCACCGGAGGAUCAGGACCGUCCAUUACCCCGACAGAUAAAAGGCUGUCGGACCCCGCCCCAGGUUGUGGGAGCAACAUUGCUGUUUGCUAGAACCUGCCUGUGAUCCUGUGCCUGACCUUGCCUGGUUUCCUGCCUCGUGUCCUGCCUUGGCCCUGUCAGACUGACUCCUCGUGGAACCCUUGGAUUCGGGACUGGACCUGGACCGCGUUGCUUGGGUUAACCCCUGGGCCCAGCACAGCAGUAAUAUUGGGGAAGCAAUGCAGAACAACUGAAAAAAUCAGAAUUAUAUGUGGACAGUCCAGUAAAAUUCACCACUAAUGCACUCUUGUUGUGUCAAUGAUACAUUGCAGAAUACACUUGCAAAAAAACCCACCCUCCAGUCUGGAGAGGCCUUUCGUCUCUCUCUCUCUCUCUCUCUCCAUCAUACUUCAUCUUAAUAAUAAUAUCUUAGGUCUAGAGACAUCUAGAAACAUAUUGCUUCGGUGAAUCAAGAUGCAAAAACAUUUAUCGCAAUCCUUGCAAAUUGAAUUAAUACAUUUGUUGAUGCAUAACAACUCAAGGUGGACUUACUUCUUAGCAGCAGCAGAUGGACUCUGUCAGGAGGACACUUUCCAUAAUUUAUUCAGUGAAACAAAACCCAAUUCCCUUAUUCCUUCCUGUCAACAGAUGCUGACAAGGCAUUCGGCCGAGUUGGACAUACAGCCUUGGCCAACCUGGUGCCUCCCAGAUGUUUUGGACAACAAUUCCCGAAAGCCCCAGCCAGAAGAUGCUGAGUUGUUGUCCAAAACAUCUGGAGGGAACCAGAUUGGCAGAGGCUGUUGCAGCACUCCAUGUAGAAUACAAUGCUUAGAUUUUAGUAUGGUUUUUCUAUCACCAGUCUUAAAGCAAUCAAUUAUCAAUGGGUGGACAUCCCAAAGGUUUCUUUCAAAUGGGGCAGUGCUUAAGGGUACGCAGUACUAGCACCACCUUACCGUAUUUUUCGCUCCAUAAGACGCACUUUUUUCCUCCUAAAAGGUAAGGGGAAAUGUGAGUGCGUCUUAUGGCACGAAUGGCGCUGUGCAGAGAGGGAGAGCUGCAUAACGCCCGUUCAGUGAAGCGGGAGGAGGAACAGAAGGAGACUGCAAAGGAGAGGUCUGCGCAGAGAAGGAGAACUGUGCAGCGCCCCUUCAGCAACACGCCUGUCCUGGCUUCUGCCUUAGCUGCACGCAGCCGCUUCGGGCAGGGGGAGCCUUCAUCCUGCUGCCCUGAAGAGGCUUGGCGCGGUUAUCCCAGAAGCCAGAACCCUCUUGCUGUUCUGGCUUUUGGGAUUCAGAAUAUUUUUUUCUUGUUUUCCUCCUCCCAAACCUAGGUGCACCUUAUGGCCUGGUGCGUCUUAUGGAGCGAAAAAUACAGUAAUUCAUUCUGGAGGUCCGUUCUUAACCUGAAACUGUUCUUAACCUGAGGUACCACUUUAGCUAAUGGGGCUUCCCGCUGCCACCACGCAAUUUCUGUUCUCAUCCUGAAGCAAAGUUCUUAACCCGAGAUACUAUUUCUGGGUUAGCGGAGUCUGUAACCUGAGGCGUCUGUAACCUGAAGCUCUGUAACCUGAGGUACCACUGUACCAGCAGCUAUUUUUCUUUUUUUAAAAAGCACUGAAUAGGGGUACUGUAAUAAAUAUAGGGGUUGCUCGUGCGUAAGUUGCCGCCAUUCCUGGCUAGGUUGCCUUGUUAAACCUUUUCUGUCUGGACAGCCCUUCACUUCGUGGCUGCCUCAGUCACUAGCAGAAUCCGUCAGUGGGCGUUUCUUAAACCUUUUCCAGCAUAAAAGCUGUUUGACCCCAAGUCUCCUCCUACUCUCCCUGCGCGGAAGUCUUCUGCGCAGGGAGGGUGUGGGUAGCGAAGGACCCGUGCUCUCCCCGCUGGUCUCCGGCGAGGAGUCCUGGAGCCCCCUCACCGAUUCCCCCAUCUGCCCCCUUUUAUCCCUGGUGUUACGCUGAUUUCCUUCCCCAGCUGAUGAGCUGCCUCUCUCCCUGCUGGGCCCCUCUCCAGCAUCGCUUGAGAGCCUUGCCUCCGCCUCUGGCUCUGAUGUCAGUUCCCUGACAGGUACCCAUUGGGGUUUUCCUCUUCUUAGCAGUUCUGUGCACCUUAAAAGCAGACGUUGUUUUGACCAUGAGAGCUGACAACCAACUGAAAAUACAUCCCACAAAAUUGCACUUUAUGCUGAUGGUAUGAUUUUCUAUUUAUCUCAUCUUGAAAGAUCAUUACCAGCAGUUGUGUUGGGACUUAAUCAAUAUGGUGCAGUCUCUGGCCUCAAAAUAAAUCAUUUCAAGUCAGAAAAUAUUGAAUGUCACAACUCGGAUUGAGACACAGCGAUGUUUGCAACUACAAUUUGCUUUUCAACAGACAGCAAAGCCAUUGAGCUAACUAUGCAUUAACAUAAUCACUUCUGAAUCCCAACUAGGCUAGAAGAAUUAUGAUCCUUUGGGACUGUAAAGAAAGAUUUAGCUGCUUGGUCAAAUCGUCAUUUGAACUGGUAUUGUAAAACUGUUCACUAAGAACGACCACCAAAAUUUAUCUUUCGGUCUUGGGUACUUAUUGAAGGGUGGGGUUCCCUACAUAUAUAAAGAAACAAUUUUUUAGUUUGCUGGUUGCAGUUCCCCUAAAGUGAUUAGUGAAAUGAUAUGGCAAGUUGGUGAGCUCUAUAUGGGACAAACAACUUCCCAACAUAACUAGGAUAAGUUUGAUCUGUAAAAUGGGUAAAGGUGGUCUCACCUUUUCUCUCUUGGCUUGUGCAUAUUUCAUACUGGGAAUACGGGACGCAGGUGUCGCUGUGGUCUAAACCACUGAACCACUUGGGCUUGCCGAUCAGAAGGUUGGCAGUUCGAAUCCCCACAACGGGGUGAGCUUCUGUUCCUCUGUCCCAGCUCCUGCCAACCUAGCAGUUUGAAAACACGCCAGUGCGAGUAGAUAAAUAGGUACUACUGUGGCAGGAAGGGAAACUGGCUGCAUUCUAUACCAGCUGGAGUUUCCAAAAAGGGUUUUUAAAGUAUAACACAUUUCAGUAAUCUUGCCUGGAUGCGAAUGCAGCUUGUGUAAAGGAGACUAGGUCUGCUUUCUCCAAAAAGGGCUACAGCUAGAGAACCAGUCUAAGCUGGUCAAAGGCACUCCAAGUCGCCGGUGCCACCUGUACCUCCAUCGAUAGCACUGAGGCCGGGAGAUAAAAGUAAGAGGAUUUGCAGAUUUACCACCAGCAAGGCAGUUCUAGCAAACUUGAGGAAAAAUGUAAAGGGUCAUAGUUUUCAGUACUUGGAGGACUUCUGAGCCACAGCUUUCUGCAGAAGAAUCAAAAGUUUGUCUCAUCUAGUUUCCAAGCCCUUUAUUCCAUCUGAUGUGUUUGGUCCAGAACCAUUCUGUUGCCAUAAAGGGUCUUAUCUCCAGAAUUCACAUCAUUCUGUUAUGCCACAGCUUGGCACAAGCAAUGACCUACAUGCUUAAACAGGAGGUGUUUCUUCGUUUUGAGAGAAUGGAAAUGAGCAGAUGGAAAUCUAAAGGAAAUGCAAAUAAAAAUUCAUUCGUACGCACACUUUAAGGCUUGACAGGUAUUCCUUCACUUUCUGGUUAUUUGAGAUUAUAAAGAGUGAUGUAUUUAUUUAAAGCCCUAAACGGCCUCGGUCCUGUAUACCUGAAGGAGCGUCUCCACCCCCGUUGUUCAGCCCGCACACUGAGAUCCAGCGCCAAGGGCCUUCUGGCGGUUCCCUCAUUGCGAGAAGUGAGGCUACAGGGAACCAGACAGAGGGCCUUCUCAGUAGUGGCACCCGCCCUGUGGAACGCCCUUCCAGCAGAUGUCAAAGAGAUAAACAACUACCUGACAUUCAGAAGACAUCUUAAGGCAGCCCUGUUCAGGGAAGUUUUUAACGCUGUACUGUUUUUAACACUUGAUUGGGAGCCACCCAGAGUGGCUGGGGAAACUCAGCCAGAUGGGCGGGGUAUAAAUAAUAAAUUAUUAUUAUUAUUAUUAUUAUUAUUAUUAUUAUUAUUCGUGUAUUCAAUUUGUUUGCCGCCCUUUCUCAGAAGGUCACAGGGCAGUUCACAACAGAAAAAUACUAAAUGAGAUCUCAAGUUACUUGGCUGAACGAAAGCAGUCCAUUUACCACUGUGGUGGGGCAAAUAAGGCAUCGCCCCUUCCCAAGUUGUUCUUUGUUCCCCCUGCCAGGAUUCUUUUGGGGAAAUUAUAUAUUUUUUACUUGUGACACGACAAUGAAUUACAGCCUCCGCUUUUUCUUUCUUUUUUAAAGGCAGCUUGUUUUAUGAACAGGAGCAAUUUAAGAACCGGGCUCUGUGAAAAAUUCAGUGAAUAAGGCAAGGCGAAUACACGACAACAGCCUCAUCUGGAAGAGCACCCC
Podarcis lilfordi (Lilford's wall lizard) is the source of this 30842-nucleotide non-coding RNA. The record is from the annotation of a GenBank genome assembly. NCBI's taxonomy places the organism in Eukaryota, Metazoa, Chordata, Lepidosauria, Squamata, Lacertidae.